RNAcentral lists this ribosomal RNA (253 nucleotides) under uncultured bacterium. RNAcentral's name for it is "partial 16S ribosomal RNA". It matches the Rfam family "Bacterial small subunit ribosomal RNA", at positions 524 to 776 of the family's 1533-position model. The record is from RNAcentral.
UACGGAGGGAGCUAGCGUUGUUCGGAAUUACUGGGCGUAAAGCGCACGUAGGCGGCGAUUCAAGUCAGGGGUGAAAGCCCGGGGCUCAACCCCGGAACUGCCCUUGAAACUAGAUUGCUAGAAUCCUGGAGAGGCGAGUGGAAUUCCGAGUGUAGAGGUGAAAUUCGUAGAUAUUCGGAAGAACACCAGUGGCGAAGGCGACUCGCUGGACAGGUAUUGACGCUGAGGUGCGAAAGCGUGGGGAGCAAACAGG